GGAGCUACCAUUUGAUUUUUAUGGGGGGGCUAGGAGGAAAAAUUUUGUACUGCAUUUUUUUUUAGCUGUAAUCUCUGUCCUGCCUUUUUAUUUUUCACUCUGUUCGGUCCUGCCUUUUUUUUUUUUAGUUUAUCCUGACUUUUUUUACCUAAAUUGUCGUCCUGACUUUUUUUUUUAGCAAGUGUCUCAUCCUGCCUUUUUUUUCACUCAAAACUCCUGUCCUGCCUAUUUUUUUCAAAUUUCAUCCUAGCCCCCCCCCCCCCCUAAAA
This 269-nucleotide long non-coding RNA is filed under the name Mytilus galloprovincialis (Mediterranean mussel). The record is from RNAcentral. Lineage: Eukaryota; Metazoa; Mollusca; Bivalvia; Mytilida; Mytilidae.